Molecule: non-coding RNA, 117 nt
Organism: Octadecabacter antarcticus 307
Lineage: Bacteria; Pseudomonadati; Pseudomonadota; Alphaproteobacteria; Rhodobacterales; Roseobacteraceae
Source: Rfam
GGCGUAUUUUGCACAGGCGGAGCUCGACCGCCCGUUUCGCAAAUGAUGGAUUUCAUUGCGGAAAGCCGAGAGACACUUGGGGUCGAGCCAAUCUGCAGGGCGCUGCAGUUUGCCCCU